Molecule: ribosomal RNA, 301 nt
Filed under: uncultured bacterium
Lineage: Bacteria
Description: partial 16S ribosomal RNA
Rfam family: Bacterial small subunit ribosomal RNA
Source: RNAcentral
CAGUAGCCGCGGUAAUACGAAGGGGGCUAGCGUUGCUCGGAUUUACUGGGCGUAAAGGGCGCGUAGGCGGACAGUUAAGUUGGGGGUGAAAGCCCGGGGCUCGACCUCGGAAUUGCCUUCAAUACUGGCUGUCUUGAGUACGGGAGAGGUGUGUGGAACUCCGAGUGUAGAGGUGAAAUUCGUAGAUAUUCGGAAGAACACCAGUGGCGAAGGCGACACACUGGCCCGUUACUGACGCUGAGGCGCGAAAGCGUGGGGAGCAAACAGGAUUAGAUACCCCUGUAGUCCCUGUCUCUUAUAC